CUACGGCUGAACCAGCAACUUGGAGGAAUGUAUAGCUACGGCUAAUUGUGUAUAACUACACGAUAUCGACUCUGUCGAAUAAAAUUCUGGAUAAAUUAUGAUAAUGACAUUUUUUACCCAUGUGUCUUGACCAAAUUGUGUGCCAGCAGUCGCGGUAAUACAUAGAAGACUAGUGUUAUUCAUCUUUAAUAGGUUUAAAGGGUACCUAGACGGUAGAUCAAGCCCUAGACGGGACUAAUUUGCUAGAGUUACUUAUGAGGGGGCUUUAAAGUACUAAUGGUGUAGAGAUAAAAUUUUGUAAUACCAUUUUUCGUAAAGAAAAGUUAUGGCACUGGUAAAGGUGAAAGCAUCCCCCUAUGUGA
This 362-nucleotide ribosomal RNA is filed under the name Ramalina sinensis. RNAcentral's name for it is "SSU rRNA". Lineage: Eukaryota; Fungi; Ascomycota; Lecanoromycetes; Lecanorales; Ramalinaceae. The record is from RNAcentral.